Molecule: ribosomal RNA, 837 nt
Filed under: uncultured marine microorganism
Description: bacterial SSU rRNA
Rfam family: Bacterial small subunit ribosomal RNA
Source: RNAcentral
AGAGUUUGAUCAUGGCUCAGGAUGAACGCUGGCGGUAUGCCUAACACAUGCAAGUCGAACGAUGUCUUCGGACAUAGUGGCGGACGGGUGAGUAACGCGUGAGAAUCUGCCUCUAGGAUGGGGAUAACGGUUGGAAACGACCGCUAACACCCAAUAUGCCGUAAGGUGAAAAAUUUAUUGCCUGGAGAGGAGCUCGCGUCUGAUUAGCUAGUUGGUGGGGUAAGAGCUCACCAAGGCUUCGAUCAGUAGCUGGUCUGAGAGGAUGAGCAGCCACACUGGGACUGAGACACGGCCCAGACUCCUACGGGAGGCAGCAGUGGGGAAUUUUCCGCAAUGGGCGAAAGCCUGACGGAGCAAUACCGCGUGAGGGAGGAAUGCCUUUGGGUUGUAAACCUCUUUUCUCAGGGAAGAAGAUCUGACGGUACCUGAGGAAUAAGUAUCGGCUAACUCCGUGCCAGCAGCCGCGGUAAUACGGAGGAUGCAAGCGUUAUCCGGAAUCAUUGGGCGUAAAGCGUCCGCAGGUGGUUUCCAAAGUCUGCUGUUAAAGACUGGAGCUCAACUCCGGAACGGCGGUGGAAACUUGGAAACUAGAGUUCGGUAGGGGUAGCAGGAAUUCCCAGUGUAGCGGUGAAAUGCGUAGAUAUUGGGAAGAACAUCGGUGGCGAAGGCGUGCUACUGGACCGUAACUGACACUCAGGGACGAAAGCUAGGGGAGCGAAAGGGAUUAGAUACCCCUGUAGUCCUAGCUGUAAACGAUGGAAACUAGGUGUGGCUUGUAUCGACCCGAGCCGUGCCGUAGCUAACGCGUUAAGUUUCCCGCCUGGGGAGUACGCACGC